ACUCCUACGGGAGGCAGCAGUAGGGAAUCUUCCACAAUGGGCGCAAGCCUGAUGGAGCAACACCGCGUGAGUGAAGAAGGGUUUCGGCUCGUAGAGCUCUGUUGUUAAAGAAGAACACGUAUGAGAGUAACUGUUCAUACGUUGACGGUAUUUAACCAGAAAGUCACGGCUAACUACGUGCCAGCAGCCGCGGUAAUACGUAGGUGGCAAGCGUUAUCCGGAUUUAUUGGGCGUAAAGAGAGUGCAGGCGGUUUUCUAAGUCUGAUGUGAAAGCCUUCGGCUUAACCGGAGAAGUGCAUCGGAAACUGGAUAACUUGAGUGCAGAAGAGGGUAGUGGAACUCCAUGUGUAGCGGUGGAAUGCGUAGAUAUAUGGAAGAACACCAGUGGCGAAGGCGGCUACCUGGUCUGCAACUGACGCUGAGACUCGAAAGCAUGGGUAGCGAACAGGAUUAGAUACCCUGGUAGGAUAGCG
This 473-nucleotide ribosomal RNA is filed under the name uncultured bacterium. Its description in RNAcentral is "bacterial SSU rRNA". It matches the Rfam family "Bacterial small subunit ribosomal RNA", at positions 335 to 801 of the family's 1533-position model. The record is from RNAcentral.